GAACCGUACGAACGUUAUUCGGAAUUACUGGGCUUAAAGGGUGCGUAGGCGGCUUGGAAAGUUGGGGGUGUGAAAGCCCUCGGGCUCAACCGAGGAAUGGCGCCCAAAACUGCCAGGCUUGAGGGAGACAGAGGUGAGUGGAACUUAGGGUGGAGCGGUGAAAUGCGUUGAUAUCCUAAGGAACACCAGUGGCGAAAGCGACUCACUGGGUCUCUUCUGACGCUGAGGCACGAAAGCUAGGGGAGCGAACGGGAUUAGAUACCCCGGUAGUCCUAGCUGUAAACGAUGAGCACUGGGUCGGAGAGCCUUCCAUAGCUUUCCGGCCGAAGCGAAAGUGUUAAGUGCUCCGCCUGGGGAGUAUGGUCGCAAAGGCUG
Molecule: ribosomal RNA, 375 nt
Filed under: uncultured organism
Description: partial 16S ribosomal RNA
Rfam family: Bacterial small subunit ribosomal RNA
Source: RNAcentral